This 253-nucleotide ribosomal RNA is filed under the name uncultured bacterium. RNAcentral describes it as "partial 16S ribosomal RNA". It matches the Rfam family "Bacterial small subunit ribosomal RNA", at positions 524 to 776 of the family's 1533-position model. The record is from RNAcentral.
UACAGAGGUCUCGAGCGUUAGGCGGAAUCACUGGGCGUAAAGCGCACGUAGGCGGAUUGUUAAGUCAGGGGUGAAAUCCUGGAGCUCAACUCCAGAACUGCCUUUGAUACUGGCGAUCUUGAGUCCGGGAGAGGUGAGUGGAACUGCGAGUGUAGAGGUGAAAUUCGUAGAUAUUCGCAAGAACACCAGUGGCGAAGGCGGCUCACUGGCCCGGUACUGACGCUGAGGUGCGAAAGCGUGGGGAGCAAACAGG